GGGCGAUUAGCUCAGUUGGUUAGAGCACUUCCCUUACACGGAAGGGGUCCGAGGUUCGAGCCCUCGAUCGCCCA
RNAcentral lists this transfer RNA (74 nucleotides) under Pseudomonadota bacterium. RNAcentral describes it as "tRNA-Val". It matches the Rfam family "tRNA". From Rfam's summary of the family: Transfer RNA (tRNA) molecules are approximately 80 nucleotides in length. Their secondary structure includes four short double-helical elements and three loops (D, anti-codon, and T loops). RNAcentral also lists the same sequence under 1 other name. Lineage: Bacteria; Pseudomonadati; Pseudomonadota. The record is from RNAcentral.